CAGCUUUCUUUUCCAAUUUGGCUGUCCACAAGGUUAGUUCAAAGUUAAACGGAACCAGGAGCAGGCAUAUACGGGAAAACUGGCGAAAGAAUCUUAUAAAGGAAUACAUCUACAGGCAGCGCUGAAUCCAGUUUCAGGGUUUGGCGCUAAAUAUAUAGCGCAAGUGCGAGCCAAACGGACGGCUUAACAUCGAGCCAGGUGGCAGACAUUUUCCUCGGAGAACGACGGAUCGCUCAGCCCAGGGAGAAACGAAACGGCGGCUCGAAACUCCCGUAGCGAGGAGCUGCAUUUAGCUGAUUACUAAUUAAUAACCUUUGAAUUAGGCCUCUGAAUGGCAGAAAAGGGUUGCAAGCAGGCAUAGAUACGUCCCAAUUAGGAAUCGCGGCAGCACACAAUUUCUUUUCCAUUUCGGCGGACUCUUAUUUUUGGUUAAUUACUCUUAGAGAGCCAUCGAUGACGUAGAAAUCUCCACGUUCCAUUUGGUCGCCAUGUUCCCCUUGCGCACUUAAAGAAGGGAACGAGAAGAGGAGGAACGAAAAGGAGAGGGGAGAAUAACCAAGUCCAGCAGUUGCAAUCGCGGUUUCUUGUUCGGCGGGCGAGCAAAAGUUUUGUCGCGCGGUCUGGCCGUAAUUUGGUGAAUCCGACCAGAGGAAAAUCCGCUGAUCGACGGCGCGGGAAAAACCCCCUUAGUGAGCGAGAAGGCCGGAAAAUAGUGGAGAGAUUUUUUUUGUAUAGUGGAAUAAGUUAUUAUGUAAAUGAAAAGUGGCAGUGCGAAGGAGAGAGGGAAAGAUAAGGAAAAGAGUCCAUCAUUUUUUUUAGUGUCCCUUAUGUGCUCCGUCUUCUUCUUCUUUUUUUUUUGUUUCUUUUGUUCAGUUUUAGCAAGCCUAUGAUUAAGCAAUAAGGCACAGUGGGUCAAAGACCAAUACAGAGAGUGAAAAAAUAUUUAAGUUUCCCACAGGUGCGGCAGACUCCAACGGAAGCGCUUUCGUCGGUGGAACUCCGGAUUGUUGGUGAGUGAUUAAAUCACGUAAUUGCAAUGGCAAUGAUCAAUGAGGUAUACAUAAUUUGGUGAAAAAGAAAGAAAGUAAUUACGUCUGAAUUUUCGAUUCCUUGUCCCACUGUCCGCCGCGAGCGAAAUUAGGUCGAAGUUUUAGAGCCUCUGAAGAAAAGGAAGAGGAGGAAUGCGAAUUCAAGGCCAAGGCCAAGAGUGGAAUGUCGGAAUUAGAGUCUGAUUUUUUUCUGUUUGUCCGUCUCUCUUUAACUCUCGCACAUAUGUAUGUUGUUUUUGCCACCAGAGCAGCAAUCGCUCUCUUUAUUUGAUUUGUUUAAUUUUAAUAUUCUUAAGUUCCAUUUGGGUGCCUAUGGCACACUCGAAAUUAGUGGAGAUCUAAAUAUCGAAAUUUUCUCUAUUAUUCGACUCGCAUACAAUUCUGAUAGUUAUUUAAGGUCCCACAUUUUUUCUCGCAUGCGAUUUUUACUCAUUUUUGUUUACGUUUUGUUACUGGCGCAUGCACUUGUUGCUAGCCUCCAUGCUGAAUUACCCAUUUGUUAGCUGUAAGAAAAUUCUCUUAGUG
This is a long non-coding RNA of Drosophila yakuba, 1574 nucleotides long. RefSeq lists it as uncharacterized. NCBI's taxonomy places the organism in Eukaryota, Metazoa, Arthropoda, Insecta, Diptera, Drosophilidae. The record is from RefSeq and is a predicted model, not a curated record. The transcript is spliced from 2 exons.